ACGGAGGGUGCAAGCGUUAUCCGGAUUCACUGGGUUUAAAGGGUGCGUAGGUGGGCAGGUAAGUCAGUGGUGAAAUCUCCGAGCUUAACUCGGAAACUGCCAUUGAUACUAUCUGUCUUGAAUUUUCUGGAGGUGAGCGGAAUAUGUCAUGUAGCGGUGAAAUGCUUAGAUAUGACAUAGAACACCCAUUGCGAAGGCAGCUCACUACGGGACAAUUGACACUGAGGCACGAAAGCGUGGGGAUCAAACAGGA
Molecule: ribosomal RNA, 253 nt
Filed under: uncultured prokaryote
Description: partial 16S ribosomal RNA
Rfam family: Bacterial small subunit ribosomal RNA
Source: RNAcentral